This 253-nucleotide ribosomal RNA is filed under the name uncultured bacterium. Its description in RNAcentral is "partial 16S ribosomal RNA". It matches the Rfam family "Bacterial small subunit ribosomal RNA", at positions 524 to 776 of the family's 1533-position model. The record is from RNAcentral.
UACGAACCGUGCGACCGUUGUUCGGAAUCACUGGGCUUAAAGGGCGCGUAGGCGGCCCGCGAGGUCGGGGGUGAAAUCCCACAGCUUAACUGUGGAAGCGCCUCCGAUACCGGCGGGCUCGAGGAAGGUAGGGGUGCGCGGAACUUCUGGUGGAGCGGUGGAAUGCGUAGAGAUCGGGAAGAACAUCGGUGGCGAAGGCGGCCUGCUGGGCUGUUGCUGACGCUGAGGAGCGAAAGCGUGGGGAGCGAACAGG